RNAcentral lists this ribosomal RNA (888 nucleotides) under Bolbitius titubans. Its description in RNAcentral is "eukaryotic LSU rRNA". It matches the Rfam family "Eukaryotic large subunit ribosomal RNA", at positions 61 to 936 of the family's 3401-position model. Lineage: Eukaryota; Fungi; Basidiomycota; Agaricomycetes; Agaricales; Bolbitiaceae. The record is from RNAcentral.
GAAACUAACAAGGAUUCCCCUAGUAACUGCGAGUGAAGCGGGAAAAGCUCAAAUUUAAAAUCUGGCAGUCUUUGAUUGUCCGAGUUGUAAACUAGAGAAGUGUUAUCCGUGCUGGACCGUGUAAAAGUCUCCUGGAAUGGAGCAUCAUAGAGGGUGAGAAUCCCGUCUUUGACAUGGACUACCAGUGCUUUGUGAUGCGCUCUCAAAGAGUCGAGUUGUUUGGGAAUGCAGCUCAAAAUGGGUGGUAAAUUCCAUCUAAAGCUAAAUAUUGGCGAGAGACCGAUAGCGAACAAGUACCGUGAGGGAAAGAUGAAAAGAACUUUGGAAAGAGAGUUAAACAGUACGUGAAAUUGCUGAAAGGGAAACGCUUGAAGUCAGUCGCGUCGGCCAGGAAUCAACCUUGCUUUUGCUGGGCGUACUUUCUGGUUGACGGGUCAGCAUCAAUUUUGACUGCUGGAAAAAGUUCAAGGGAAUGUGGCAUCUUCGGAUGUGUUAUAGCCCUUGUUCGCAUACAGCAGUUGGGAUUGAGGUACUCAGCACGCCGCAAGGCCGGGUUUCGACCACGUUCGUGCUUAGGAUGCUGGCAUAAUGGCUUUAAUCGACCCGUCUUGAAACACGGACCAAGGAGUCUAACAUGCCUGCGAGUGUUUGGGUGGAAAACCCAAGCGCGCAAUGAAAGUAAAAGUUGAGAUCCCUGUCAUGGGGAGCAUCGACGCCCGGACCAGACCUUUUGUGACGGAUCUGCGGUAGAGCAUGUAUGUUGGGACCCGAAAGAUGGUGAACUAUGCCUGAAUAGGGUGAAGCCAGAGGAAACUCUGGUGGAGGCUCGUAGCGAUUCUGACGUGCAAAUCGAUCGUCAAAUUUGGGUAUAGGGGCGAAAGACUAAUC